Molecule: long non-coding RNA, 404 nt
Organism: Bufo bufo (common toad)
Lineage: Eukaryota; Metazoa; Chordata; Amphibia; Anura; Bufonidae
Exons: 3
Source: RefSeq, a predicted model, not a curated record
CAUGGUCACAUGGUCGUGACAUCAUGGAAGGUUCUGUACCUACAUCAGCACAGUGUAGAGCCUGACUCCUCCCACACAUGGUCACAUGGUUGUGACAUCAUGAAAGGUCCUUUAGCCCCCCAGUCUCUCCCCCAUACAUGUAUUAUACAGCGGUGCAGCUGGAGAUUCCUACAAUAUAGGAUCCCCUCAGUUGGAGAUUUUCUACAUUAAAUCCUUCUCCUGACUGACCCGUCAAAGAUGGAUAGGGACAGGGACAAGAUGGCAGAGAGUAUAAUAAAUCUUACCCUGGAGAUCCUCUUCCGGCUUACUGGAGAGGACUACACAGUAGUGAAGAAGACCUCUAGUGAGCAUUGUAAGGCCCCUGUAUCUGUAGGAUGGGGAAGAACCCUGAGCCCAAUCAUGGA